GCCUUGAAGCGGGGGUGCCCGGCGAAUGCCGGGCUGAGAGAGUCCCUUGGAACCUGAUCCGGCUAGCACCGGCGUAGGGAGCUUGCAGCACCAUCGC
This 97-nucleotide non-coding RNA is filed under the name Rhodanobacter spathiphylli. Its description in RNAcentral is "Rhodanobacter sp. TPP sequence". It matches the Rfam family "TPP riboswitch aptamer (THI element)". Rfam says of the family: Vitamin B(1) in its active form thiamin pyrophosphate (TPP) is an essential coenzyme that is synthesised by coupling of pyrimidine and thiazole moieties in bacteria. The record is from RNAcentral. Lineage: Bacteria; Pseudomonadati; Pseudomonadota; Gammaproteobacteria; Lysobacterales; Rhodanobacteraceae.